AAAAAAAAAAAAGGGGCAAAACAAAAAAAGUCUCAAAAUUCAGUUGAACAAAAAAAUCCCAUUGAAAAACUGAAGUGCAAUUUCUGUCUUCCAAACAAACAUAGAAAAAGCAUAUAAAUGCUCAGCCAACACAUUUAACAAAGAUUAACAAAACUCAGGUUACCAGAAGAAAACCUCUUCUUAGUAAAUAUACAAUAAAUAGCAGCUCAGCAAUCCAGACAACUAUUGCUGCACCUCCCUGUGCUUCAUAAGCCUGUUAAAAAGAGCAUUAGUGGUCAUUAAUAACUGGCAGUCCUUGGGAGCUUCCUUGCAGGCCCGUUCCAGUGUCCAGCCCCCUCUCCUUAUGACCUGACCUCUGGGGCCAGCCCCGGGCAGAGGAGAGGCUGGAGAGCUGGCCUGUCCUUGCUCGCCUUUGUCACUGAGAGGGCUGUCCCCUAAUGCCAUCCCUGCAGUGCUUCCUGGGUUGGAAGAACCUGGAGCUGAUCUAAUCAGCCUUUAUGUGCCUUUUUCUCCUCCAGGGUUAGAAAAUCUCUAGAUGGGAGUCAUCCACAACAGAUCUUACUCUUCAAUAGGACUAAAUUCCCCAGACCAUGUUGAGAAUACUGCAUCCAGUUUUGGGCCCCUCCAUACAAAAUGGACACCAAUGGUUCGGUUGGUCUGGGGCUGGAGCCCUGUAAGGAAAGGCUGAGGGAAGGGGACUUGCUCAGCUUGGGGAACAGAUGGAUUCAGGCACCUACCAGGGACCUGCCAGUGCCUGCACAGAGGUUCUGGAGGAGAUGGAGUCAGGCCCAUGGUGCGUUGCAGAGGGCAAGAAGCUGAAACGAGAUGCUGAGGCUGGCCAAAGCCCUGACCAACCCCAGCUUGAGCUUGUGGCUGACCCUGCAUAGUGCAGCAGUUUGGACCAGAGCCCUCCUGUGGUCCCUUCCCACCUCAAUUAUCCUGAUUCCAAAAUCCCUCUCUGGCAACUAAUGAUCAUCCAAACAUACUACCGAAGAAUCCUCUAAAAUAUUCCAGCACAGGUGAUCUAUAACUGACAAUGUUAAAUCAGCCAUAGGUUAAAUAAAAUACUGAAUAAUGGUGCAUAUAAGAAAAAAAUGCCAAAUUAGAUUCUUUUUAAUAGGAACAAUGAAGAAGGAGGUUUUUUUAGAAUUAGAGCUACAUCUUGAAUCCAAAGCAAGUGACUGCAAACACAGACAUCAAAUCUGUUGGUGACUGGAGAGAAUAGGAAUUAAUAUCAGUAUUUAAAAAUCAAGUAAGAUGAUCAACUAGAAAGUCCUUCCCUAAUAUUUGACUGCAGAAAAUCUGUAAAGACUGAAGAAAAACAAGUGAGAACACAGUCCUGUGUAAACUUAGGCAGAAUCAGAAUUUUUCAUUUAAUCCCAGAUUUACCAGUUCAUUGAAGACCAAAGUUCAGGGCUUAGGAAACCUACUGAUAAGUGCACUUAAAAGCUGAAAGCUCUUAUGGAGUACAUAUAUGGAGAAAAUCACACUACAAACUGUGUGACUGAAUUUUUGUCCCACCCAGCUGUCUCUUGGGUGUUUCACAGUCUCUCCACUGCCUAGGAAGCUUUCUGCCCAAAGCUUUCCAAAUCCAAAGUAUUUGAGAUCCCAUAACUAUAGGGUAUCUGCUAGAACAAGGAACUCAGAUUUGAAAAAUCGCUUCCAAAUAAUAACUGAGUCUUUUUCUUCACAUACAAGGGCUUUAGGAUUAAAUUUUAGACAAAUUUUCUGCCACACCAUACAAGUUUUCAAAGAUCCAUAAAAAGAACAAAUAUUAGCUCAGAAAACAUCUAGAAUUAUUUUUCUUUCUCUCUUUCCAAAGAUACUUGCCUAGCCACUUAAGACUUUCAUUACCAGAUAAAUGAUUCCUGUAUAAAAAGACAGUUUGUGAAAGGGUUUAAUGACUUUUCCACACAGAAGCCUCUCUAUAAAUAAAAUCUUACGUGCACUGCACUUUUCUAGUUUAUACAACUCUAGCUGACCUGAAGUUUAUACAACUGUUGGAAACACAGAAAUGCACUAGUAGAUCAUAUUUUUUCUCAGCUAUUAAUGUUUGCAGCAUUGGAACAAAGUCUUGUGUUACUUCUUUCAUAUACUGGUAUUACACUUAAAAACCCGUGAUGAAUAAAGCGUUCACUUUUUAACAGAA
Long non-coding RNA from Pipra filicauda (Wire-tailed manakin), 2149 nucleotides. RefSeq lists it as uncharacterized. NCBI's taxonomy places the organism in Eukaryota, Metazoa, Chordata, Aves, Passeriformes, Pipridae. The transcript has 2 exons. The record is from RefSeq and is a predicted model, not a curated record.